This 471-nucleotide ribosomal RNA is filed under the name uncultured bacterium. Its description in RNAcentral is "bacterial SSU rRNA". It matches the Rfam family "Bacterial small subunit ribosomal RNA", at positions 355 to 825 of the family's 1533-position model. The record is from RNAcentral.
UGGGGAAUAUUGGACAAUGGGGGAAACCCUGAUCCAGCGACGCCGCGUGUGUGAAGAAGGCCUGCGGGUUGUAAAGCACUUUCGGUGGGAACGAAAUGUGCCGGGCUAAUAUCCCGGCAAGCUGACGUUACUCAAUGAAGAAGCACCGGCUAACUCUGUGCCAGCAGCCGCGGUAAUACAGAGGGUGCGAGCGUUAAUCGGAAUUACUGGGCGUAAAGCGCACGUAGGUGGCGACGUAAGUCGGGUGUGAAAGCCCCGGGCUCAACCUGGGAACUGCAUUCGAGACUGCAUUGCUGGAGUACGGAAGAGGAGGGCGGAAUUCCCGGUGUAGCGGUGAAAUGCGUAGAUAUCGGGAGAACAUCAGUGGCGAAGGCGGCCCUCUGGUCCAGUACUGACACUCAAGUGCGAAAGCGUGGGGAGCAAACAGGAUUAGAUACCCUAGUAGUCCCUGAGCGGGCUGGCAAGGCGCAU